GUGCGCGAGGGAGCACUCUCCCCUGUGUGCUCCCUCUUCAACUCCCUCGUGCGCCGCAUAGGGAUGCCGGCACCGGAAGAUGACGUCAUCUUCCGGCUCCGGUAUCAGUGCGGUGCGCGAGGGAGCUGAAGAGGGAGCACACAGAGGUGAGUGCUCCCUCAUGCAC
Molecule: non-coding RNA, 166 nt
Organism: Pelobates cultripes (western spadefoot toad)
Lineage: Eukaryota; Metazoa; Chordata; Amphibia; Anura; Pelobatidae
Source: the annotation of a GenBank genome assembly